GCGAAAUCUUGUAGGAGCUUGCUCCUUAAGGUUAGCGGCGGACGGGUGAGUAACACGUGGGCAACCUGCCUGUAAGACUGGGAUAACACCGGGAAACCUGUGCUAAUACCGGAUAAUUCUUCACCUCGCGUGGGGUGAAGCUGAAAGUCGGUUUCGGCUGACACUUACAGAUGGGCCCGCGGCGCAUUAGUUAGUUGGUGAGGUAACGGCUCACCAAGGCAACGAUGCGUAGCCGACCUGAGAGGGUGAUCGGCCACACUGGGACUGAGACACGGCCCAUACUCCUACGGGAGGCAGCAGUAGGGAAUCUUCCGCAAUGGACGAAAGUCUGACGGAGCAACGCCGCGUGAGUGAUGAAGGCCUUCGGGUCGUAAAACUCUGUUGUUAGGGAAGAACAAGUACCGGAGUAACUGCCGGUACCUUGACGGUACCUAACCAGAAAGCCACGGCUAACUACGUGCCAGCAGCCGCGGUAAUACGUAGGUGGCAAGCGUUGUCCGGAAUUAUUGGGCGUAAAGCGCGCGCAGGCGGUCCUUUAAGUCUGAUGUGAAAGCCCACGGCUCAACCGUGGAGGGUCAUUG
This 581-nucleotide ribosomal RNA is filed under the name uncultured Caryophanales bacterium. RNAcentral's name for it is "bacterial SSU rRNA". It matches the Rfam family "Bacterial small subunit ribosomal RNA", at positions 66 to 628 of the family's 1533-position model. Lineage: Bacteria; Bacillati; Bacillota; Bacilli; Caryophanales. The record is from RNAcentral.